AUUUGGACAUGGGGGCAACCCUGNUCCAGCGACGCCGCGUGUGUGAAGAAGGCCUGCGGGUUGUAAAGCACUUUUAGUGGGGAUGAAAAGCUCAGGGAUAACACCCCUGGGUCUUGACCUAACCCACAGAAAAAGCACCGGCUAACUCUGUGCCAGCAGCCGCGGUAAUACAGAGGGUGCAAGCGUUAAUCNGGAAUUACUGGGCGUAAAGCGUGCGUAGACGGUUACGUAAGUCGGGUGUGAAAGCCCCGGGCUCAACCUGGGAAUUGCAUUCGAGACUGCAUAGCUAGGGUGCGGAAGAGGGAAGCGGAAUUUCCGGUGUAGCNGGUGAAAUGCGUAGAUAUCGGAAGGAACACCAGUGGCGAAAGCGGCUUCCUGGUCCAGCACCGACGUUCAGGCACGAAAGCGUGGGGAGCAAACAGGAUUAGAUACCCUGGUAGUCCACGCCAUAAACGAUGAGAACUAGACGUUGAAGGGGUAAGCCCUGCAGUGUCGUAGCUAACGCGCUAAGUUCUCCGCCUGGGGAGUACGGCCGCAAGGUUGAAACUCAAAGAAAUUGACGGA
This 564-nucleotide ribosomal RNA is filed under the name uncultured bacterium. RNAcentral's name for it is "bacterial SSU rRNA". It matches the Rfam family "Bacterial small subunit ribosomal RNA", at positions 362 to 917 of the family's 1533-position model. The record is from RNAcentral.